AUUGAACGCUGGCGGCAGGCCUAACACAUGCAAGUCGAGCGGAUGAAGGGAGCUUGCUCCUGGAUUCAGCGGCGGACGGGUGAGUAAUGCCUAGGAAUCUGCCUGGUAGUGGGGGAUAACGUCCGGAAACGGGCGCUAAUACCGCAUACGUCCUGAGGGAGAAAGUGGGGGAGCUUCGGACCUCACGCUAUCAGAUGAGCCUAGGUCGGAUUAGCUAGUUGGUGGGGUAAAGGCCUACCAAGGCGACGAUCCGUAACUGGUCUGAGAGGAUGAUCAGUCACCCUGGAACUGAGACACGGUCCAGACUCCUACGGGAGGCAGCAGUGGGGAAUAUUGGACAAUGGGCGAAAGCCUGAUCCAGCCAUGCCGCGUGUGUGAAGAAGGUCUUCGGAUUGUAAAGCACUUUAAGUGGGGAGGAAGGGCAGUAAGUUAAUACCUUGCUGUUUUGACGUUACCAACAGAAUAAGCACCGGCUAACUUCGUG
RNAcentral lists this ribosomal RNA (484 nucleotides) under uncultured bacterium. RNAcentral describes it as "partial 16S ribosomal RNA". It matches the Rfam family "Bacterial small subunit ribosomal RNA", at positions 30 to 507 of the family's 1533-position model. The record is from RNAcentral.